CCUACGGGGGGCAGCAGUGGGGAAUAUUGGACAAUGGGGGGAACCCUGAUCCAGCCAUGCCGCGUGUGUGAAGAAGGCCCUCGGGUUGUAAAGCACUUUCAGUGAGGAAGAACGCCUGGUGGUUAGUACCCAUCAGGAAAGACAUCACUCACAGAAGAAGCACCGGCUAACUCCGUGCCAGCAGCCGCGGUAAUACGGAGGGUGCGAGCGUUAAUCGGAAUUACUGGGCGUAAAGCGCGCGUAGGUGGCUUGAUAAGCCGGUUGUGAAAGCCCCGGGCUCAACCUGGGAACGGCAUCCGGAACUGUCAAGCUAGAGUGCAGGAGAGGAAGGUAGAAUUCCCGGUGUAGCGGUGAAAUGCGUAGAGAUCGGGAGGAAUACCAGUGGCGAAGGCGGCCUUCUGGACUGACACUGACACUGAGGUGCGAAAGCGUGGGUAGCAAACAGGAUUAGAUACCCGAGUAGUC
This 465-nucleotide ribosomal RNA is filed under the name Vreelandella stevensii. RNAcentral describes it as "partial 16S ribosomal RNA". It matches the Rfam family "Bacterial small subunit ribosomal RNA", at positions 338 to 795 of the family's 1533-position model. Lineage: Bacteria; Pseudomonadati; Pseudomonadota; Gammaproteobacteria; Oceanospirillales; Halomonadaceae. The record is from RNAcentral.